UCUCUCAACACAUAUGAUAUACACUGUUCUGUCUCAAACACUUUUUGCUGUCACCAAACCUCACCCGCUCUCACCACCGACGCUCGCCACCAUCGCACAUCGCCACCUGCAAAUCACUAGCGCCACUUAAUCACAGUCAGCUGGGGCUUUGUCAAUUAAUAUUGGUAAGUGCUGGUUCUGUGCUCUUAUUAGAAGUAUCACCUGCAGGACUUGACCAUUUCGGAUCGGAUGGUAUUGUUCAUUUCUGCUAGCUCACUACGGGUCUUAUUUUGAUAAUUUGAAUUAUAAUUUUUGUAUUGUUCUGAAUUUUCAGCAGAAAACUAUUAACUGUUUGUAGUGAAAAUUAGUUUGAUUUGAACAAUUAGUUAGGCAAGGAUGGUGAGAAAGUGAAGGAUUAUACUAACUGAUAGACAAAAUUGAAAUGCUAGUGUUGUAGAACAGGAAUGAUCAUCAAACCGCUGCUUGUAAUUGCUAUAUAUAUAAAAAAAAAAAAAAAUAAGAAAAAAGAAACUCCUCUGUUGUGAUAGGGCAUCUGUUGAAGUAGUGAUUGCUGAUAGCACAUUUCAAAGAUGGGUUCGUGAGGUUCCGAGUUGUGGUACGGUUAAUUUAAUUGGGUUUCAUCUUGUUUUCUUGUGUUUCAUCUUUUUGUGGGUUUGUUUUGAUUUGAAUGAGUUCUGAGUUUUUGAAUUCCGCACAUUAACAUUGUUUUCAUUCAAUGUUAUUUGUGGGAAAAUUAUAUGGUGAUGUAUGAAUUAUGGUCUGAAUUAUGGAUCAUGUGGUGCUUUGUAAGGGAAUAUAUUUGAGAAAUAAGGGAAUUGUUAUAUUCAAAUAAAACUGUAACUCUUCAUUUGCGGAUGUGUGCUCCCCUGCCAAGUUUGAUGCCUGGGUUCAAGUCUUACUGCUGUGAGUGCAGCUUCCCUUCCCCUAUUACCCACCUAUCUAAAAAAUAAAUUAAAAUAAAAAGUGGAAUGAUAAAACAUCCUAUUGUUUGAAGGUUAUGGUAUUUAUCUUGGAAAAUUCUAAUGUGUAUGAAGUGCAUUGAAAUGUUUAUUUAUUUUGGCCCAAGGGGCCUGCCCCCAGAAGUUUAGAAAGCUACUUUUAUUUUCUAAGCAACAAUUACUUGGGCUUGAGUUCACAUCUACAGUUUCAAAAGCUGCUGCAAAGGUGGGUUUAAUCAUUAAUGGUCAACAACAUUUUAUUUACUUUUUUGUAUUAAAUAUUUUUUAGACAUUUGCCUAAGUUGUUUUGGCCCUCCUGUUUUAGGUAGCCCUAGCACAUGGAAUGGGCCCAAGGGGUUCUGCUUUAAUCUAUGGGUAUACAAGUUACCAUGGACUGCUUGAGUCGUGCUUGGCAGACUUGAAAAAGAAAGAGAAGGUGAUUGCUUAGUUUUGUGCUAAAAAGGACACUAGCUUGCCAAAGGACCUCUAUUUUUGUUGCUUAGGAAUUGGCUGUCACUGUCACAUUGUUUUUUCCAAGCAUGUUUUAAAUGUGGUUUGUGAAUCCAUGUCAUUUCACUUAUAAGUUGUUUUCUGUUCAAUUGAAAUCCUAUAUUUGAGGGAACCUCCUGAUUGCAUAAAUUCAGAUGCUAUAUUAGUCCUUUUGGCAUGGAAGAGGAGUGCUUGAUAUAAGUAACAGUCUUGCUUGUGAAGACCCAUAAGGGUAAUGCAAAGAUUUUGCAUUAUAUAAUUUUCUUUUAUAGUUUCAAAUAUGCCAAUGCUAUGUGGUCAAUACUAAUGAUUAAUUUUUUUUUUUACCGAUGAUUUUUGGCAUGGAAUUGUAGAUAUUCCUUUUUUGUCUACAGAGGACGUGGUUUUUGUACUACUUUUUAUUUUGUAUGAAAUUAUUAUUUUCAGUUGGAAUAUACUUGGUUUGUAUAAAAUUUGACAUUAAAA
Molecule: long non-coding RNA, 1892 nt
Organism: Camellia sinensis
Lineage: Eukaryota; Viridiplantae; Streptophyta; Magnoliopsida; Ericales; Theaceae
Source: RefSeq, a predicted model, not a curated record